RNAcentral lists this ribosomal RNA (484 nucleotides) under uncultured bacterium. RNAcentral describes it as "partial 16S ribosomal RNA". It matches the Rfam family "Bacterial small subunit ribosomal RNA", at positions 30 to 507 of the family's 1533-position model. The record is from RNAcentral.
AUUGAACGCUGGCGGCAGGCCUAACGCAUGCAAGUCGAGCGGAUGAAGGGAGCUUGCUCCUGGAUUCAGCGGCGGACGGGUGAGUAAUGCCUAGGAAUCUGCCUGGUAGUGGGGGAUAACGUCCGGAAACGGGCGCUAAUACCGCAUACGUCCUGAGGGAGAAAGUGGGGGAUCUUCGGACCUCACGCUAUCAGAUGAGCCUAGGUCGGAUUAGCUAGUUGGUGGGGUAAAGGCCUACCAAGGCGACGAUCCGUAACUGGUCUGAGAGGAUGAUCAGUCACACUGGAACUGAGACACGGUCCAGACUCCUACGGGAGGCAGCAGUUGGGAAUAUUGGACAAUGGGCGAAAGCCUGAUCCAGCCAUGCCGCGUGUGUGAAGAAGGUCUUCGGAUUGUAAAACACUUUAAGUUGGGAGGAAGGGCAGUAAGUUAAUACCUUGCUGUUUUGACGGUACCAACAGAAUAAGCACCGGCUAACUUCGUG